GUACCCUCUGUUGAUCUGCUUGUGAAGUCUUCUGCGGACAGCCUCAAAACUUCUGAUUUCAUUAUCAUUGGCACAACUCUGGCCCACAUGUUGACAACCAAGCCAAUAACAGACCUCAAAGGCAAUCAAUACCUGCACCAAGAGAGCAAAUAAUACACCUGCCUAAUCAGAAAGAACGGCUGAGAACCCAACUGUACAAUUACUUUUGGUCUUGUAAAAUUUGGGAACUGUAUAAAAAGGGAUGUAAUUCUUAUGCGGAUCACCCGAUAUGGAUGUAAAUAUCAUCAAAUGAAAAGUUACCGUCUUCAUUUUAACCUCAUAUGCAUUGUUCAAAUAAUUUCAUAUCUGGAGAGCACAGAAAAAUAGAAAUUUUACCACUUUCCAAAUACUGCACUGUAUAAUACAUAUACUAAAUGCCAGAUUAUUACAAAAUGGGACACAUGCAUAUCUUCACUCUCUACAAAUAAAUGAGUUGCAUUGUGGUAUAGCCCAGACAAUAACAUAUAUUGUAAGGGCUGCUAGGUGGCUCAUCCUGCUCCAGUGCAUGGAUGGUCUCCUCUGCUAUAGAAUCCAGACAGUGCCAUUGCAGACUGUGGCCAGCAGCCAGGUGAGGGGAGGGGGGUUACAGCUGACUGCUCUGACAUUCAAAGUAAUACUGUGUUAGAAAAGAUAAACCAGUAUGAAGACCAGAUACCUGUCUUUGGGAGAAAAGCAAGCCAUUUUAAAACUUAGAAAAGAGUCUAGUCAAGCAUUGGGGAUAGCUUGUACAACAACUUGGAAUGUCCUGAAAAAGAAAGAAACCGCUGGCAUACUGACCAACAGACAUCAAACAGGUCGACCAAAGAAAACAACAGCAGUUAAUGGCAGAAACAUUGUGAGAGCUGUGCAGCUCCACAGGGCAGGACAGUUGUAAGUCAGAAGGGAAAAUUACAAUUGGCAAAGAAGUACAGAGAUGAGCCACAAACGUUCUGGUACAAAGUUUUAUGGACAGAUGAGACCAAGAUUAACCACUACCAAAGUGAUGGAAAGGCCAAAGAAAGUGGAGAAAGAAGAGAUCUGCUCUUGAUCUAAAACAUUCAAGCUCAUCUGUGAAGCACAGUGGAGGACGUGUUAUGGCUUGGGCUUGCAUGGCUGCUUCUGGAGUGGGCUCAUUAAUCUUUAUUGAUGUUGGUAGCAGCAGGAUGAAUUCAGAAGUUUACAAAAACAUUCUGUCUGCCAACUCACGAUGGUAGCAGCAUGAUGAAUUCAGAAGUUUACAAAAACAUUCUGUCUGCCGGAGAACUUACGGAGAAAUACGUUCAAACUAAUUUGGAGGAACUUCGUCAUGCAGCAAGACAAUGACCCAAAGCACACUGCUAACACAACAAAGAACUUAAUUAGGGAGAAAAAAUUGGAAGGUUUUGGACUGCCCAAGUCAAUCACCAGACCUUAACCCAAUUGAGCAUGCAUUUCACCUCCUGAAGAGGAGAUUUGAGGGAAAAACCCCCAAACAAACAACUGAAAGAGGCUGCAGUAUAAGCCUGGAAAAGCAUCACAAAAGAAGAAUGCAACAGUUUGGUGAUGUCAAUGGGUCGCAGGCUUGAUGUAUUUAUUGCAAGAAAGGGAUAUGCUAUUAAACUUUCAUUAUUUACUUUCAUUUA
Conger conger (European conger) is the source of this 1640-nucleotide long non-coding RNA. RefSeq lists it as uncharacterized. The transcript has 2 exons. NCBI's taxonomy places the organism in Eukaryota, Metazoa, Chordata, Actinopteri, Anguilliformes, Congridae. The record is from RefSeq and is a predicted model, not a curated record.